Molecule: ribosomal RNA, 415 nt
Filed under: uncultured bacterium
Lineage: Bacteria
Description: bacterial SSU rRNA
Rfam family: Bacterial small subunit ribosomal RNA
Source: RNAcentral
GGAAUAUUGCACAAUGGGGGGAACCCUGAUGCAGCGACGCCGCGUGGGCGAAGGAGCACCUCGGUGCGUAAAGCCCUAUCGGCAGGGAAGAAAGGCGGGCGGGGCCCGUCUGGACGGUACCUGACUAAGAAGCCCCGGCUAACUACGUGCAAGCAGCCGCGGUAAUACGUAGGGGGCAAGCGUUAUCCGGAUUCACUGGGUGUAAAGGGAGCGUAGACGGCGACGCAAGUCUGGAGUGAAAGCCCGGGGCCCAACCCCGGGACUGCUCUGGAAACUGCGGCGCUGGAGUACGGGAGGGGCAGGCGGAAUUCCUGGUGUAGCGGUGAAAUGCGUAGAUAUCAGGAGGAACACCGGCGGCGAAGGCGGCCUGCUGGACCGUGACUGACGUUGAGGCUCGAGAGCGUGGGGAGCAAAC